This 757-nucleotide long non-coding RNA is filed under the name Homo sapiens (human). Its description in RNAcentral is "HSALNT0336818". Lineage: Eukaryota; Metazoa; Chordata; Mammalia; Primates; Hominidae. The record is from RNAcentral.
AAACUUAGUAACUUGCUUCCAAGGAGUGGAGUACGGAAAGUAAAUUUAAAAUAGAGUAACCAGGCAAACACUAUCUUCGCCAGGUGACCAAGGUUAACAUCAUUAGUGAUAAGUCACCUUGACAGCAUAUUCCCUUGAUGUGAUGUGAUGAAAAUAGAAGCUUACCUCUGGUCUUUCUCUCAGAAUCCCAUAACCCCAGCCUAAUAUGAGAAAAACACCAGACAAAUUCCAUUUGAAGGAUAUUCUACAGAAUAUCUAACCAGCACUCUUCAAAACUGCCAAGGUCAUGAAAAACAAGAAAGAAAAGAAACACAGAUGUGAUGAAUGAAGAAAAAUACCAGUUGAGUCACCUAACCAGUACUGAAAAAAAUCACAGGAAGAUGAAAAGGUUCUGAAGCAUUUACAAUUUUAUAAGCUUUCUUCGGGGUAAAACUUAUGUUUAAAACUUGCCAUGCAGGAUGUCUUGCAGCCCCACCACAAAGAAGAUUCAGUGGAGCUGAACAAGCUCACUACCAAGCCACUGAAAAGAGGAAAGAAAGUCCAUCUGAGAUCAAAGGUCGCACUUCCCAUUUUUUUCAAGUUCUGCAAAGGUGAUCUGUUUCCCUUUAGUGCACAGGAAAUAAGUGAGAUGUUCUCUAAAAGCCUUUACCUGUUUCACCUUAUACUGUAAUCACUAAAUCCAGAAGACUAACGCAAACUCAUACUUAAAAAGAAAACAAUUAGCCUAGAGCACGUAAUAGAAAUCAGAAGCAUUUGA